Oncorhynchus tshawytscha (Chinook salmon) is the source of this 1649-nucleotide long non-coding RNA. The record is from Ensembl. NCBI's taxonomy places the organism in Eukaryota, Metazoa, Chordata, Actinopteri, Salmoniformes, Salmonidae.
GCUUUACAGUGUUCCCAUUGAUCGGCAAAAAACAAAAAAUGGUUAAUCAGUAGUAACAAUACAGCAGUCAAAAGAAAGGAACGUCAGAAGGAGGAACAUAAAGAAUAGUCCGUAUUCAUAAAGCGUCUCAAAGUAGGAGUGCUGAUCUAGGAUCAGGUUUCCCCAGUCCAUAAAAUCGUAUUGAUUGUGAUCUAAAAGGUCCAACUGAUCCUAGAUCAGCAUUCCUACUCUGGGAUGCUUUGUAAAUACGAGCCCAGAAAGGUACACCAGGUCAUCACUGCAUCUACACUCUAUUCAGGUAAGGUCAGGCGCGGUCUGGUCGAGCCGGCCGUACCUUAACCGCGUUUUAACCACGGUCAAAUCCCUCUGCCUUAUGACCACCUUUCACCUCUUUUCUGCUUGGCUGACCUCUUGCUAAGGCCUUGAGCCAAUUGAACCCGUCUCCCUUGGGUUCCCCUAGCCCUCUUCUCAUUUGCUCUUCAGUCUCAGACCCUCAACUGUCUGCGAUCGCACCCUGAUCCAUCUUCUCUGUAAUAACCCUCUCUUUUCCCUGUCACUGUUUACCUCAUUUUUCUUCCCCAGUGGCCUACUUUAAGCACCCAAGGCAUCCUCAUACAAGGUUCCCUCGCCCCUCUUAAUCAUAGCCUUAGCCUUGCCACACACUCACUCCCACACUCCUCCCCCUCUCCCUCAGGGGCGGCCCGGCUGGUUGACCUGCCUGCCUCCUCACUCCCUCAGUGUGGCUGCAUAUCAUUUCCCUGCUGCGCUUUGUGUGGGUUGGUUUCCUAGCAACAGACAGCCAUCACAGCUCAGGAUCUGAAAGUGGAGAGAAUAUGUUGCUGCUGCACACUUCUAGGGCUAGCUAAUACACUGGCUGAGUCUGAAAUGACACCCUAUUCAGUGCAGUACUUUUGACCGUACCCCUAUGAGCCAUGGUCAAAAGUAGUGCCAGGGAAUAAAGUUCCAUUUUGGACACAUCCACUAAGUGCUGUGCUACAGUGUUGGGUGCUCUCCAGCCAUUGACAGGCCACUCCCUCUCCAUCAGAACAGGACAACAGUAGGCUUUUCUCUCUGACUACUGAGGUUAAACCACACAGCACCUUGAUCCUGGGAAAGAUGGCAGUGGUCUCUGAAAGAAGUUGAAAAUGAACCAACGGUCUCUGGCUUGAACCAAAAGAAAAGAAGAAAGAAAAAAAAAACAUUUUCUCUUGAAUUGUACAUCAGCAGAGGUUCAGUGGAAUGGUAUGGAAUAGUAUUAUUAAGUUAGAGAAUCACACUAGUGGUGGUGGUUGCAUACAGUAUUUCUUCUACUUUCUAAUACUGAGUAUGCUUUACCAGAAUCAAGAAGUACUAAGACCAGACCGAACAGGGCAUAGCAUAGCAUUCCCCAUAUAAACACAGGCUUGACCCUUUUACGAAACAGAAUACAGUAAAAUGCAUUGUAGGCUAGUGACAUAACAGUGUAGUUUGUCUGUUCCUCUCUAACAACUUAAAACAGGAAAUUAAUAAUUAGCUACCUUAAGCCAUAUAGAUUGUUGGUGGGAUAUUUGAAUGUCAGCAUGUAAUUAUUACAGUACAUAAGGCUUUUGCGGAGUCUUGGUAUACUAUUACGUCAUUUAUCAAGAACACAAAUAGUAGCCUAGGCUGAG